ACGGGAGGCAGCAGUAGGGAAUAUUGCACAAUGGGGGGAACCCUGAUGCAGCAACGCCACGUGUGGGAAGAAGCAUUUCGGUGUGUAAACCACUGUUGUGAGGGAAUAAUGCUUGGCUCCGGCCAAGUUGAAUAUACCUCGAAAGGAAGCACCGGCAAACUUCGUGCCAGCAGCCGCGGUAAUACGAGGGGUGCAAGCGUUGUUCGGAAUCACUGGGCGUAAAGGGAGCGUAGGCGGAGACGCAAGCAGUCUGUACAAUACCGGGGCCCAACCCCGGACCUGCAGACUGGACUGUGUCUCUUGGAUAGUUCAGGGGCAGGCGGAAUUCCUGGUGUAGCGGUGGAAUGCGUAGAGAUCAGGAAGAACACCGAUGGCGAAGGCAGCCUGCUGGGGACUCAUCGACGCUGAGGCUCGAAAGUGCGGGUAGCAAACAGGAUUAGAUACCCUGGUA
RNAcentral lists this ribosomal RNA (451 nucleotides) under uncultured Fibrobacter sp. Its description in RNAcentral is "partial 16S ribosomal RNA". It matches the Rfam family "Bacterial small subunit ribosomal RNA", at positions 341 to 792 of the family's 1533-position model. Lineage: Bacteria; Pseudomonadati; Fibrobacterota; Fibrobacteria; Fibrobacterales; Fibrobacteraceae. The record is from RNAcentral.